Molecule: non-coding RNA, 88 nt
Organism: Buttiauxella agrestis ATCC 33320
Lineage: Bacteria; Pseudomonadati; Pseudomonadota; Gammaproteobacteria; Enterobacterales; Enterobacteriaceae
Source: Rfam
AAAAAUGGUAGCCCGGGCGGGGCAGCCUUCGGGCUGGCCGGUAUCCAUUGAGGCCGGUUACGCCAACCCUGUUCGGGCUACCACCAGU